AUCCUGCGGGAGAGUGCUGCUAUCUGGAUUCGACUAAGCCAUGCAAGUCAGGGGGUUUUCGGACCACCGGACGAAAGGCUCAGUAACGCGUCACUAAUCUACCCUACAGUCAAGGAUAGGCUUGGGAAACUGAGUGUAAUACUUGAUACGUGUACUCUGCUGGAAUGCUUGUACAUUCAAACUCGCGCUGUAGGAUGAGGUGGCGUCGGAUUAGCUUGUUGGUGAGGUAACGGCUCACCAAGGCUUCGAUCCGUACGGGCGAUGAGAGUCGUAGCCCGGAGAGGGACACUGAGAUACUGGUCCCAGCCCUACGGGGUGCAGCAGGCGCGAAACCUCUACAAUGCACGAAAGUGUGAUAGGGGGAUCCAGAGUGCUUAUGCUCAGCAUAGGCUUUUGUCGAGAGUAAAAAUCUCGGCGAAUAAGUGGUGGGAAAGACCGGUGCCAGCAGCCGCGGUAACACCGGCGCCACGAGUGGCAUUCACAUUUAUUGGGUCUAAAGCGUUCGUAGCCGGACAUGUACAUCCUUCGUGAAAUCGAGCGGCCCAACCGUUCGGAUGGCUUGGGACACGGCAUGUCUUGGGACCGGGAGGAGCUAGAAGUAUGCCUUGGGGAGCGGUUAAAUGUGAUAAUCCAAGGUAGACUACCUGCGGCGAAGGCCUCUAGCUAGAACGGAUCCGACGGUGAGGGACGAAGGCCAGGGGAGCGAACCGGAUUAGAUACCCGAGUAGUCCUGGCAGUAAACGCUGUGUGCUAGGUGUUGCAGGUCUGUAUGGACUUGCAGUAUCGAUGCGAAGGCGAUAAGCACACCACCUGGGAAGUACGGCCGCAAGGCUGAAACUUAAAGGAAUUGACGGGGGAGCACCACAAGGGGUGCGGCGUGCGGUUUAAUCUAAUUUAACGCAGAGAAUCUCACCAGAGGCGCCGGCAGGAUGAAGGUCAGUCUGAAGGACUUACCUGACGAGCCGAGAGGUAGUGCAUGGCCGUCGUCAGCUCGUGCCGUAAGGUGUCCUGUUAAGUCAGGCAACGAGCGAGACCUGCAUCUACAAUUGCCAGCAUGUUCUACGGAAUGAAUGGGCACAUUGUAGGGACUGCCCUGGAAACAGGGAGGAAGGUGCAGGCUACGGUAGGUCUGUAUGCUCCGAAUCUUCUGGGCAACACGCGCGCAACAAUGGUAUGGACAAUGGGAUACUACUCCGAAAGGAGACGUUAAACCUCGAAACCAUAUCUCAGUCCAGAUUGCGGGUUGUAACUCACCCGCAUGACGACGGAAUCCCUAGUAAUCGGAAGUCAACAUCUUCCGGUGA
RNAcentral lists this ribosomal RNA (1304 nucleotides) under uncultured euryarchaeote. RNAcentral describes it as "bacterial SSU rRNA". It matches the Rfam family "Archaeal small subunit ribosomal RNA", at positions 11 to 1321 of the family's 1478-position model. Lineage: Archaea; Methanobacteriati; Methanobacteriota. The record is from RNAcentral.